AGAAUCAACGCUGGCGGCGUGCCUAACACAUGCAAGUCGAACGCGAAAGUCCCGAAAGGGAUUAGUAGAGUGGCAAACGGGUGAGUAACACGUGGGUGACCUGCCUUCGAGCGGGGGAUAACGUCCCGAAAGGGACGCUAAUACCGCAUAACAUCCUGCCUUUUAAGAGGUGGAGAUCAAAGCCGGGGAUUCGCAAGAACCUGGCACUUGAAGAGGGGCCCGCGCCUGAUUAGCUAGUUGGUGGGUAAUGGCCUACCAAGGCAACGAUCAGUAUCC
This 276-nucleotide ribosomal RNA is filed under the name uncultured bacterium. RNAcentral describes it as "partial small subunit ribosomal RNA". It matches the Rfam family "Bacterial small subunit ribosomal RNA", at positions 26 to 288 of the family's 1533-position model. The record is from RNAcentral.